Molecule: transfer RNA, 75 nt
Filed under: Clostridia bacterium
Lineage: Bacteria; Bacillati; Bacillota; Clostridia
Also listed under: 5 other names
Description: tRNA-Glu
Rfam family: tRNA
About the family: Transfer RNA (tRNA) molecules are approximately 80 nucleotides in length. Their secondary structure includes four short double-helical elements and three loops (D, anti-codon, and T loops). Further hydrogen bonds mediate the characteristic L-shaped molecular structure. tRNAs have two regions of fundamental functional importance: the anti-codon, which is responsible for specific mRNA codon recognition, and the 3' end, to which the tRNAs corresponding amino acid is attached (by aminoacyl-tRNA synthetases). tRNAs cope with the degeneracy of the genetic code in two manners: having more than one tRNA (with a specific anti-codon) for a particular amino acid; and 'wobble' base-pairing, i.e. permitting non-standard base-pairing at the 3rd anti-codon position.
Source: RNAcentral
GGCGUAUUGGUCAAGAGGUUAAGACGCAGCCCUCUCACGGCUGAAUCUGGGGUUCGAUUCCCCAAUACGCUACCA